GGGGUGACUGCGUACCUUUUGUAUAAUGGGUCAGCGACUUAUAUUCUGUAGCAAGGUUAACCGCAUAGGGGAGCCGAAGGGAAACCGAGUCUUAACCGGGCGUUAAGUUGCAGGGUAUAGACCCGAAACCCGGUGAUCUAGCCAUGGGCAGGUUGAAGGUUGGGUAACACUAACUGGAGGACCGAACCGACUAAUGUUGAAAAAUUAGCGGAUGACCUGUGGCUGGGGGUGAAAGGCCAAUCAAACCGGGAGAUAGCUGGUUCUCCCCGAAAGCUAUUUAGGUAGCGCCUCGUGAAUUCAUCUCCGGGGGUAGAGCACUGUUUCGGCUAGGGGGCCAUCCCGGCUUACCAACCCGAUGCAAACUGCGAAUACCGGAGAAUGUUAUCACGGGAGACACACGGCGGGUGCUAACGUCCGUCGUGAAGAGGGAAACAACCCAGACCGCCAGCUAAGGUCCCAAAGUCAUGGUUAAGUGGGAAACGAUGUGGGAAGGCCCAGACAGCCAGGAUGUUGGCUUAGAAGCAGCCAUCAUUUAAAGAAAGCGUAAUAGCUCACUGGUCGAGUCGGCCUGCGCGGAAGAUGUAACGGGGCUAAACCAUGCACCGAAGCUGCGGCAGCGACACUUUAGUGUUGUUGGGUAGGGGAGCGUUCUGUAAGCCGUUGAAGGUGUCCUGUGAGGGGUGCUGGAGGUAUCAGAAGUGCGAAUGCUGACAUAAGUAACGAUAAAGCGGGUGAAAAGCCCGCUCGCCGGAAGACCAAGGGUUCCUGUCCAACGUUAAUCGGGGCAGGGUGAGUCGACCCCUAAGGCGAGGCCGAAAGGCGUAGUCGAUGGGAAACGGGUUAAUAUUCCCGUACUUGGUGUUACUGCGAAGGGGGGACGGAGAAGGCUAUGUUGGCCGGGCGACGGUAGUCCCGGUUUAAGCGUGUAGGCUGGUUUUCCAGGCAAAUCCGGAAAAUCAAGGCUGAGGCGUGAUGACGAGGCACCACGGUGCUGAAGCAACAAAUGCCCUGCUUCCAGGAAAAGCCUCUAAGCAUCAGGUAACAUCAAAUCGUACCCCAAACCGACACAGGUGGUCAGGUAGAGAAUACCAAGGCGCUUGAGAGAACUCGGGUGAAGGAACUAGGCAAAAUGGUGCCGUAACUUCGGGAGAAGGCACGCUGACACGUAGGUGAAGUGAUUUACUCAUGGAGCUGAAGUCAGUCGAAGAUACCAGCUGGCUGCAACUGUUUAUUAAAAACACAGCACUGUGCAAACACGAAAGUGGACGUAUACGGUGUGACGCCUGCCCGGUGCCGGAAGGUUAAUUGAUGGGGUCAGCGCAAGCGAAGCUCCUGAUCGAAGCCCCGGUAAACGGCGGCCGUAACUAUAACGGUCCUAAGGUAGCGAAAUUCCUUGUCGGGUAAGUUCCGACCUGCACGAAUGGCGUAAUGAUGGCCAGGCUGUCUCCACCCGAGACUCAGUGAAAUUGAACUCGCUGUGAAGAUGCAGUGUACCCGCGGCAAGACGGAAAGACCCCGUGAACCUUUACUAUAGCUUGACACUGAACAUUGAGCCUUGAUGUGUAGGAUAGGUGGGAGGCUUUGAAGCGUGGACGCCAGUCUGCGUGGAGCCGACCUUGAAAUACCACCCUUUAAUGUUUGAUGUUCUAACGUGGACCCGUAAUCCGGGUUGCGGACAGUGUCUGGUGGGUAGUUUGACUGGGGCGGUCUCCUCCUAAAGAGUAACGGAGGAGCACGAAGGUUGGCUAAUCCUGGUCGGACAUCAGGAGGUUAGUGCAAUGGCAUAAGCCAGCUUGACUGCGAGCGUGACGGCGCGAGCAGGUGCGAAAGCAGGUCAUAGUGAUCCGGUGGUUCUGAAUGGAAGGGCCAUCGCUCAACGGAUAAAAGGUACUCCGGGGAUAACAGGCUGAUACCGCCCAAGAGUUCAUAUCGACGGCGGUGUUUGGCACCUCGAUGUCGGCUCAUCACAUCCUGGGGCUGAAGUAGGUCCCAAGGGUAUGGCUGUUCGCCAUUUAAAGUGGUACGCGAGCUGGGUUUAGAACGUCGUGAGACAGUUCGGUCCCUAUCUGCCGUGGGCGCUGGA
Molecule: ribosomal RNA, 2083 nt
Filed under: Salmonella enterica subsp. enterica
Lineage: Bacteria; Pseudomonadati; Pseudomonadota; Gammaproteobacteria; Enterobacterales; Enterobacteriaceae
Description: bacterial LSU rRNA
Rfam family: Bacterial large subunit ribosomal RNA
Source: RNAcentral